Molecule: small nucleolar RNA, 78 nt
Organism: Lupinus angustifolius (narrow-leaved blue lupine)
Lineage: Eukaryota; Viridiplantae; Streptophyta; Magnoliopsida; Fabales; Fabaceae
Rfam family: Small nucleolar RNA snoR28
About the family: R28 is a member of the C/D class of snoRNA which contain the C (UGAUGA) and D (CUGA) box motifs. Most of the members of the box C/D family function in directing site-specific 2'-O-methylation of substrate RNAs.
Source: Rfam
GGUGCAGGCGAUGAUAUUUUCUUGUGUGAAUACGAAUAUGACAUCCAUUGGCACAGUUUCAAACGCCUUGCUGAUAUU